CCCUGCCUCCCUGCUUACCAGCAUCACUCAUCCUGUUCCUGGUUCUCUUUGUUUUGCCAUGUGGCCAUCACCAUAAAAAUCAGAACCAAACUCCAAACAAGAAUGUCUGGAAUAUCAAGAGUAAUGAUGUACAGAGUCCCUUCUGGCCCCAGCUUCUAUUGAAAAAUAAUUGGAUGAAUUGAGGAUGCUUACAUUUCAUCUACCCUGUCACUACUUCUAGAUUAUCAAAGGAGAAGGAGGUUUUGGAGAGCACCGCAAUAAAGAUGGACCAUGAAGACAGCCGGGGAGUGUGGAUUGCUGGUUCUGUGAGAUAAAAUUCUGUGUCAAAGACUGAAAUGGAACUCGUUCCUCUAGAAAGCUGGGCCACUGCUUUGGCUACAGCACCAUCCACCUGCCAAACAACAACCAGCAGCCACGUCCAAGACCAGCGGAGCACCCACACAACAAAAAUGAGACGUGUGUGUGCAGCUAGAGACAAGAGUCCAUCAGGGUCCAGAGCCUUCCUGAUACGGCCUCUAACUCUUGCUUCAUCACUUUUAUUGCAGCUUUUCUCUCUUAAAGAUAAA
Molecule: long non-coding RNA, 566 nt
Organism: Pogoniulus pusillus (Red-fronted tinkerbird)
Lineage: Eukaryota; Metazoa; Chordata; Aves; Piciformes; Lybiidae
Exons: 4
Source: RefSeq, a predicted model, not a curated record